GACAGAGGGUGCAAACGUUGCUCGGAAUCACUGGGCGUAAAGGGCGUGUAGGCGGGAAGGAUAGUCAGAUGUGAAAUCCCUGGGCUCAACCCAGGAACUGCAUUUGAAACUCCCUUUCUUGAGUGUCGGAGAGGAAGGCGGAAUUCCUGGUGUAGAGGUGAAAUUCGUAGAUAUCAGGAGGAACACCGGUGGCGAAGGCGGCCUUCUGGACGAUAACUGACGCUGAGACGCGAAAGCGUGGGGAGCAAACAGG
This 253-nucleotide ribosomal RNA is filed under the name uncultured bacterium. Its description in RNAcentral is "partial 16S ribosomal RNA". It matches the Rfam family "Bacterial small subunit ribosomal RNA", at positions 524 to 776 of the family's 1533-position model. The record is from RNAcentral.